AAGUCGUAACAAGGUUUCCGUAGGUGAACCUGCGGAAGGAUCAUUACCUAGAGUUGUGGGCUUUGCCUGCUAUCUCUUACCCAUGUCUUUUGAGUACUUACGUUUCUUCGGCGGGUCCGCCCGCCGUUGACAUUUUAAACCCUUUGCAUUUGAAAUCAGCGUCUGAAAAAUUUAAUUAUUACAACUUUCAACAACGGAUCUCUUGGUUCUG
This 211-nucleotide unclassified non-coding RNA is filed under the name air metagenome. RNAcentral describes it as "partial contains small subunit ribosomal RNA, internal transcribed spacer 1, and 5.8S ribosomal RNA". The stretch from base 1 to 46 matches the Rfam family "Eukaryotic small subunit ribosomal RNA", at positions 1786 to 1831 of the family's 1831-position model. The record is from RNAcentral.